AACCUCCCCUUCAGGAGAAUCAUUUCUAUAGUAAUCGACCCAUUCUUGGUUCCUCAAAAGAGCCACAGAAAUCCACCCUGGUUGAUGAUUGCAUAUCCUCGACACCCUAGAGUGAAUACUUGUUUUCUGGUCCUCUCGAACUGUCCGCAAGGAUGGCGGUCUUGGCUCUCGGGCCUUGACUGUAUAGAGAGAUGCGCAAGUCAGUUAUUGGCCAGCUUCGGUUGGUUCAUGUCGACUUGCCACUUUUGAUGAUCUCGACCCUGUCGGUGGUCUGCCUUCGGGCGCACUAACAGGGUGGGUGUUGAUGGACGUCUGACAGGC
RNAcentral lists this small nucleolar RNA (321 nucleotides) under Cordyceps militaris CM01. RNAcentral describes it as "Fungal small nucleolar RNA U3". It matches the Rfam family "Fungal small nucleolar RNA U3". Rfam says of the family: Small nucleolar RNAs (snoRNAs) are involved in the processing and modification of rRNA in the nucleolus. There are two main classes of snoRNAs: the box C/D class, and the box H/ACA class. Lineage: Eukaryota; Fungi; Ascomycota; Sordariomycetes; Hypocreales; Cordycipitaceae. The record is from Rfam by way of RNAcentral.